RNAcentral lists this ribosomal RNA (554 nucleotides) under Salmonella enterica subsp. enterica serovar Paratyphi B var. L(+) tartrate +. RNAcentral's name for it is "partial 23S ribosomal RNA". It matches the Rfam family "Bacterial large subunit ribosomal RNA", at positions 711 to 1262 of the family's 2925-position model. The record is from RNAcentral. Lineage: Bacteria; Pseudomonadati; Pseudomonadota; Gammaproteobacteria; Enterobacterales; Enterobacteriaceae.
AGACCCGAAACCCGGUGAUCUAGCCAUGGGCAGGUUGAAGGUUGGGUAACACUAACUGGAGGACCGAACCGACUAAUGUUGAAAAAUUAGCGGAUGACCUGUGGCUGGGGGUGAAAGGCCAAUCAAACCGGGAGAUAGCUGGUUCUCCCCGAAAGCUAUUUAGGUAGCGCCUCGUGAAUUCAUCUCCGGGGGUAGAGCACUGUUUCGGCUAGGGGGCCAUCCCGGCUUACCAACCCGAUGCAAACUGCGAAUACCGGAGAAUGUUAUCACGGGAGACACACGGCGGGUGCUAACGUCCGUCGUGAAGAGGGAAACAACCCAGACCGCCAGCUAAGGUCCCAAAGUCAUGGUUAAGUGGGAAACGAUGUGGGAAGGCCCAGACAGCCAGGAUGUUGGCUUAGAAGCAGCCAUCAUUUAAAGAAAGCGUAAUAGCUCACUGGUCGAGUCGGCCUGCGCGGAAGAUGUAACGGGGCUAAACCAUGCACCGAAGCUGCGGCAGCGACACUAUGUGUUGUUGGGUAGGGGAGCGUUCUGUAAGCCUGUGAAGGUGUGUC